UACAUGUGCUUGUCACGUGUAGGAGAUGCGUUUUGAAGUCCCUUACUGUAGAUGUCAAUCCAAGGGCCGUCGAGGCUUGAUCUUGAAUUGGGCUGGAGAUUUCUUCAAGGGCCGUUGAGGCUUGAUCUUGAAUUGGGCUUGAGAUUUCUUCAAGGGCCAUCGAGGCUUGAUCUUGAAGGUUGAAAUUGGACCACAAGGAGCUUCAUGUGGUAGAUGAUCUAUGGCUUUGGUAGUGGGUGAAUCGACACGUAUUUUGUUGCGCUUUGU
Molecule: long non-coding RNA, 267 nt
Filed under: Malus domestica (apple)
Lineage: Eukaryota; Viridiplantae; Streptophyta; Magnoliopsida; Rosales; Rosaceae
Description: long non-coding RNA (MDOM_LNC016783)
Source: RNAcentral